GCUAAAUUUUAAGCAAAUUUUAUUACGCGUAUUUUAAAUUUUAAUAAGUUUUUUUUAAAAUAAGAUAUGAAUACUGAAAGUCGAGCUGAAUUAAGAAGACAACACGUUGAACCACAAACUUCUGAAGCGUUUUAUGAUGCUGCUCCUGAACGACCACCUCUUGGUACUAGUCCCGUGGAAAUGACUUGUCCAGGUUGCCACAAUAAAAUAAAAACCGAAGUUACUUUCAGAUAUAAAUUCGCAACUCAUUUUAUUGCAAUUGUUUUAUGUUUAAUUGGUUGUCCUAUUUGCGCUUGCAUUCUGUACUGUACACCUUGCGUCCGUAAAACCAUACACUAUUGUCCUUUAUGUGAAAAAUUCUUAGGUACCGGCAAUACUCGAAAUUUGGAUCAUUGAAAAUUGUUAGGAUCUUAUACCGUCGUAAUUCAGGAAAAGUGUUUGGAUUAAAAUCAAGUAAAUAAUUGAAACGACAAAGCAAAACGAUUUAAAUUAAAUAGUGUUAACUUUGGCGUCACCAUUUGAAGUCAAUGAUACAAUUCCUUCUAAAAUAUGAAUCAUCCUUAACUGCUGUAUUGAAUAAGCCCAACGUCAGACACCAACAACUAAUGACGUACUAUUUUAUUAAGUUUUUAAAAGUAUAUAUAGAACAUGUCUGAAAGACUUGGACGUCAUUCAACAAUUGCUUAUUGCCCCAAUUGCGGUCAACAUGUUAGAACAUUCACUAGUUAUGAAAUUUCUCUAAAGACGCAUUUGCUGGCCUUACUUUUGUGUCUAUGUGGGUGCUGGUUCUGUUCUUGUAUACCUUAUUGCUCAACAUGUGUCCAUGAUAUUGCACACUACUGUACACGAUGUGGGAUGUAUUUGGGUAAUUCAAGUUUUUAAUCAAUAGCUAAUGGAUUUGUAAGAAAUAGCUAUAUUAAUCAGUACACAUAGAAAAAUAUAAGCGAAAUGUAUCUAUUGAAAGUUAUUAUGCCAUAUAUAUACAAAUAAAAUUGAAUUCAUU
Molecule: RNA transcript, 1003 nt
Organism: Teleopsis dalmanni
Lineage: Eukaryota; Metazoa; Arthropoda; Insecta; Diptera; Diopsidae
Gene name: lipopolysaccharide-induced tumor necrosis factor-alpha factor homolog
Exons: 7
Source: RefSeq, a predicted model, not a curated record